GCUGAGUUUAUCUUUGAAUAUUGUCUUUUUAUAUCUGAUACCAAUACCAUCUGAAUUAAGUUCCUAAUCAUUGCUUAGGUACUUCCCCAAAGCCCUCUUUCAGUACAGAAACUUCACAACUUAACUAUUAAGGAGGUAUUACUUUCUUCCAUUACAUUCAAAACUUAGGCUUCUUAUCACCUAUUACCCUGGGAAUGACUGGUGUCUUUGUGACACACUAGUGCUGUCUUUCUCUUUUUCCCUUUGAACACUUUGCAUUCUAAUCUAUUUGAAAAUUCAAAUAUGGCCAGGCACGGUGGCAUGCAACUGUAAUCUCAGCACUUUGGGAGGCUAAGGUAGGUGGAUCUUUUGAGGCCAGGAGUUUGAGACCAGUCUGGCCAACAUGGUGAAAUCCCAUUUCUACUAAAAUACAAAAAAUUUGCUGGGCGUGGUGGCAUACACAUGUAGUCCCAGCUACUGGGGAGGCUGAGGCACAAGAAUCGCUUGAACCUGGGAGGCGAAGGUUGCAGUGAGCUGAGAUUGCACCGCUGUACUCCAGCCUGGGUGACAGAGUGAGACUCUGUCUAAAGAAAUAGAAGUAAAUAAAUAAAAUCAAAUAUUCUGUUGUUGUAUCAAAUUAGAAAUGGAUUGUCACUUCAUCUUCAUCCUUGUGUAAUUGGUCAGAAUAGUGGAUAUGUCCAGCACUUGAUACAUAAACUCUUGCUAUAGUGUUUCUGAGAGGUGUUAGAGUUUAAACUUUAUACAUCUAAUAUUAAAUAAGUGAAAUUUUAAAAAUACGUGAAAUAACUGUAUUUUCUCUUCUGUAUCCAAGGCACACAUUUCCAAUUGACCACAGCAUUUUUUUUCUAUUGGACUCAAAUGUCAACUGAUCAGAGCUAAUGUGAGAUGAAACCCACCUGCCUCCCACAUGUCAUGGACACACUGUCUGCCAUGAGAAUAUCAUGUCCUGAUUACUUUCAACUGGAAAAGGCUCUUUUGUUUUCCAGAGAGCAAGUGGUCCAGAAUUAACAUUAGCAUAAGACACAACAGAUAAAGAAGAACAGAGUAAGAGCCUGGAGAGACUAUAUAAUUCAUAAAAGCAUCAUGAAAGAUCAAUUGUUCUUUGUUCCUACUCUUUGUGUAACAUGAAGGCAGAAGGCCCUUCCAUGCAUUUUCCUUUCCUAUGGAUUUUAUUGAGAACUCUUUCUUUCUAGUGUGGCCAAGUAAAAGCUGAUGUUAGGUGAGGAUUUUUUUUUUUUUUACCUUCACUUAAAUUCCAGUGUGAAAUGAAUCAUUUCCAGGUGAGCUCAGAUCUGAUCAAGAAAAUAAAUCUGGGUCCAUGAUAGCUCUCUUAUCUGCAGUCUUUGAUAUGUAUAAUAAAAUAAGACCCAAACUACUGCU
RNAcentral lists this long non-coding RNA (1380 nucleotides) under Macaca mulatta (Rhesus monkey). Its description in RNAcentral is "lncRNA (ENSMMUG00000045513.2)". The record is from RNAcentral. Lineage: Eukaryota; Metazoa; Chordata; Mammalia; Primates; Cercopithecidae.